GAGUUUGAUCGUGGCUCAGGAUGAACGCUGGCGGCGUGCCUAAUACAUGCAAGUCGAGCGAACGGACGAGAAGCUUGCUUCUCUGAUGUUAGCGGCGGACGGGUGAGUAACACGUGGAUAACCUACCUAUAAGACUGGGAUAACUUCGGGAAACCGGAGCUAAUACCGGAUGAUAUUUUGAACCGCAUGGUUCAAAAGUGAAAGACGGUCUUGCUGUCACUUAUAGAUGGAUCCGCGCUGCAUUAGCUAGUUGGUAAGGUAACGGCUUACCAAGGCAACGACGCAUAGCCGACCUGAGAGGGUGAUCGGCCACACUGGAACUGAGACACGGUCCAGACUCCUACGGGAGGCAGCAGUAGGGAAUCUUCCGCAAUGGGCGAAAGCCUGACGGAGCAACGCCGCGUGAGUGAUGAAGGUCUUCGGAUCGUAAAACUCUGUUAUUAGGGAAGAACAUAUGUGUAAGUAACUGUGCACAUCUUGACGGUACCUAAUCAGAAAGCCACGGCUAACUACGUCG
RNAcentral lists this ribosomal RNA (517 nucleotides) under uncultured microorganism. RNAcentral's name for it is "bacterial SSU rRNA". It matches the Rfam family "Bacterial small subunit ribosomal RNA", at positions 9 to 508 of the family's 1533-position model. The record is from RNAcentral.